GCCGCGAUGGUGCAAUGGUUAGCAUGGGGGCCUGUGGAGCCCCAGAUCUGGGUUCGAAUCCCAGUCGCGGCC
Molecule: transfer RNA, 72 nt
Rfam family: tRNA
About the family: Transfer RNA (tRNA) molecules are approximately 80 nucleotides in length. Their secondary structure includes four short double-helical elements and three loops (D, anti-codon, and T loops). Further hydrogen bonds mediate the characteristic L-shaped molecular structure. tRNAs have two regions of fundamental functional importance: the anti-codon, which is responsible for specific mRNA codon recognition, and the 3' end, to which the tRNAs corresponding amino acid is attached (by aminoacyl-tRNA synthetases). tRNAs cope with the degeneracy of the genetic code in two manners: having more than one tRNA (with a specific anti-codon) for a particular amino acid; and 'wobble' base-pairing, i.e. permitting non-standard base-pairing at the 3rd anti-codon position.